ACGGAAGGCAGCAGUGAGGGAUAUUGGACAAUGGCCGGAAGGCUGAUCCAGCCAUGCCGCGUGAAGGCAGACGGUCCUAUGGAUUGUAAACUUCUUUUGUACGGGAGCAAUAAGGUGGACGUGUCCAUCGAUGAGAGUACCGUACGAAUAAGCAUCGGCUAACUCCGUGCCAGCAGCCGCGGUAAUACGGAGGAUGCGAGCGUUAUCCGGAUUUAUUGGGUUUAAAGGGUGCGUAGGCGGGCUGGUAAGUCAGCGGUGAAACGCAGGUGCUCAACACCUGACCUGCCGUUGAUACUGCCGGUCCGGAAUGCGGAUGCUGUGGGAGGAAUGUGUGGUGUAGCGGUGAAAUGCAUAGAUAUCACACAGAACACCGAUUGCGAAGGCAUCUCACAAAUCCGCGAUUGACGCUGAGGCACGAAAGUGCGGGGAUCGAACAGGAUUAGAUACCCUGGUA
RNAcentral lists this ribosomal RNA (454 nucleotides) under uncultured Porphyromonadaceae bacterium. RNAcentral describes it as "partial 16S ribosomal RNA". It matches the Rfam family "Bacterial small subunit ribosomal RNA", at positions 341 to 792 of the family's 1533-position model. Lineage: Bacteria; Pseudomonadati; Bacteroidota; Bacteroidia; Bacteroidales; Porphyromonadaceae. The record is from RNAcentral.